Molecule: ribosomal RNA, 347 nt
Filed under: uncultured bacterium
Lineage: Bacteria
Description: partial 16S ribosomal RNA
Rfam family: Bacterial small subunit ribosomal RNA
Source: RNAcentral
CCUACGGGAGGCAGCAGUGAGGAAUAUUGGUCAAUGGCCGUAAGGCUGAACCAGCCAAGUCGCGUGAAGGAAGAAGGAUCUAUGGUUUGUAAACUUCUUUUAUAGGGGAAUAAAGGUAGCCACGUGUGGAUAUUUGCAUGUACCCUAUGAAUAAGCAUCGGCUAACGCCGUGCCAGCAGCCGCGGUCAUACGGAGGAGGCGAGCGUUAUCCGGAUUUAUGGGGGUGUCCGGGUGCGUAGGGUGUUUUUUAAGUCAGCGGUUAAAGUUUGUGGCUCACCCAUAAAAUUGCCGUUGAAACUGGAAGACUUGAUUGUGUUUGAGGUAGGCGGAAUGCGUGGUGUAGCGGU